This 67-nucleotide transfer RNA is filed under the name Acropora cervicornis. RNAcentral describes it as "tRNA-OTHER". Lineage: Eukaryota; Metazoa; Cnidaria; Anthozoa; Scleractinia; Acroporidae. The record is from RNAcentral.
GUCUCCAGUAGCUCAGUGGUGAGAGCAUCCGACUUUAUCACGGAGGGUUCAAAUCCCAUCUGGGACA